This 1481-nucleotide ribosomal RNA is filed under the name uncultured Bordetella sp. RNAcentral describes it as "partial 16S-23S ribosomal RNA intergenic spacer". It matches the Rfam family "Bacterial small subunit ribosomal RNA". Lineage: Bacteria; Pseudomonadati; Pseudomonadota; Betaproteobacteria; Burkholderiales; Alcaligenaceae. The record is from RNAcentral.
CGAUUAUGGCUCAGAUUGAACAUGGCGGGGAUGCUACACAUGAAGUCGAACGGCAGCACGGACUUUCCCGGUCGGUGGCGGAAGUGGCGAACGGGUGAGUAGUGGCCAUCGGAACUGAUGUAGUAGCCAGGAAUAACUACGCGAAAGCGUAGCUGGUACCGCAUCGCGUCAAGGAAGCGGGGACCUUCAGGCCUCGCACUAGAGCAGCCGAUAUCGGAUUGGCUAGUUGGUGGGGUAACGGCUCGCAAGGCGACGAUCCGUAGCUGGUUUGAGAGGACGACCAGCCACACUGGGACUGAGACACGGCCCAGACUCCUGCAGGAGGCAGCAGUGGGGAAUUUUGGACAGUAAAACCCUGAUCCCAGCCAUCACGGCGACGUGUGCGAUGAAGGCCUUCAGGCGUAAAAGCACUUUUGGCAGGAAAAAAACGGCACGGGAUGUACCCGUGCAACUGACGAGCCUGCAGAAUAAGCACCGGCUAACUACGUGCCAGCAACCACGGUAAUACGUAGGGUGCAAGCGUUAAUCAGAAUUACGGGCGUAAAGCGUGCGCAGGCAGUUCGGAAAGAAGAUGUGAAAUCCAGAGCUUAACUUUGGAACUGCAUUUUUAACUACCGAGCUAGAGUGUGUCAGAGGGAGGGGAAGUGCGUUCAUGUGUAGCAGUGAAAUGCGUAGAUAUGCGGAGGGAACACCGUGUGAAGGCAGCCUCCUGGGAUAACACUGACGCUCAUGCACGAAAGCGUGGGGGAGCAAACGGGAUUAGAUACCCUGGUAGUCCGCCCUAAACGAUGUCAACUGGCUGUUGGGGGCCUUCAGACCUUGGUAGCGCAGCUAACGCGUGAAGUUGACCGCCUGGGGGAAAUACAGUCGCAAUUAAGAAACUCAAAAGGAAUUGACGGGGACCCCAUACAAGCGGUGGAUGAUGUGGAUUAAUUCGAUGCAACGCGAAAAACCUUACCUACCCUUGACAUGUCUGGAAUCCCGAAGGGAUUUAGGUGCUCGCAGAGAACCGGAACACAGGUGCUGCAUGGCUGUCGUCAGCUCGUGUCGUGAGAUGUUGGGUUAAGUCCGCAACGAGCGCAACCCUUUGUCAUUGGUUACUUUCGAAAGGGCACUCUAAUGAGCUGCCGGUGACAAGUGCCGGAGGAAGGUGGGGAUGACGUCAAGUCCUCAUGGCCUUAUGGUGCAGCUUCACACGUCGUACAAUGGUCAGGACAGAGGGUCGCCAACCCGCGAGGGGAGCCAAUCCCAGAAACCCGAUCGUAGUCCGGAUCGCAGUCUGCAACUCGACUGCGUGAAGUCGGAAUCGCUAGUAAUCGCGGAUCAGCAUGUCGCCCGGUGAAUACGUUCCCGAGGUCAUACACACCGCCCGUCCACACCAUGGGAGUGGAGUUUUACCAGAAGUAGUUAGCCUAACCGUAAGGAGGGCGUUACUGCAGUAAGGAUUCACUUUUGACUGGGGGUGAAGUCGUAACAGGUAG